Molecule: ribosomal RNA, 253 nt
Filed under: uncultured bacterium
Lineage: Bacteria
Description: partial 16S ribosomal RNA
Rfam family: Bacterial small subunit ribosomal RNA
Source: RNAcentral
UACGUAGGGGGCAAGCGUUGUCCGGAAUCAUUGGGCGUAAAGAGCGUGUAGGCGGUUCGAUAAGUCGGCUGUGAAAGUCCAGGGCUCAACCCUGGAAUGCCGGUGGAUACUGUCGGGCUCGAGUCCGGAAGAGGCGAGUGGAAUUCCUGGUGUAGCGGUGAAAUGCGCAGAUAUCAGGAGGAACACCAAUGGCGAAGGCAGCUCGCUGGGACGGUACUGACGCUGAGGCGCGAAAGCGUGGGGAGCAAACAGG